Glycine soja is the source of this 2789-nucleotide long non-coding RNA. RefSeq lists it as uncharacterized. The transcript has 10 exons. The record is from RefSeq and is a predicted model, not a curated record. Lineage: Eukaryota; Viridiplantae; Streptophyta; Magnoliopsida; Fabales; Fabaceae.
GCUACAACGGGAUGAUUAGUUUAUAAGCAUCACACAAACACUUGUAAGACUAGGUUCUAAGUUCUAAUUCGAUGAAACUCGAAUCUUCAGCGCCAGAGCAAGAGAGAGAAUAGAAAUCUAUAUCAGCUUCUUGACGAUGAAUGCAGAAUCCAAUUUCUAAACUCGUUAUUCAUUUUCUUGGCCCAAUCUUGUUGAAACAAAAUUAGGGUUUGUAAGCCCUAUAAAGAUGACCCUGACCCUGAAAACGUAAAAAUGUGGUUGCCACUAUCUAGAUGGAUUAAUUAUUCAUCUGAAAAAAUAGGGUCUAUGAACCCUAUAUCCUUGAUCUUGUCCCUGAAAACGGAAAAGUUCGGUUGCUACUAUGAGAUGAAUUUUUUUAAUCAUCAUUUACAAAUUUGGUAUAUAAACCCUAUAAGAAUGGCCCUGUCCCUGAAUCGGAAAAGUGUGGUUGCCUCUAUGAGAUGAAAUUCUAUAUUCAUCAUCUGCAAAAUUUCAGGAUUUACGAAUGACUCUAUCCCUGAAAUCAGAAAACUGUGGCUGCCUCUAUGAGAUGAAAUUCUAUAUUCAUCAUCUGCAGAAUAUCAGUAUCAAAGAAUGGCCAUGUCCCUGAAAUCAGAAAAGUGUGGUUGCCUCUAUGUUGAAAUUCUAUAUUCAUCAUCUGCAGAAUAUCAGUAUAAAAGAAUGGCCAUGUCCCUGAAAUCAGAAAAGUGUGGUUGCCUCUAUGUUGAAAUUCUAUAUUCAUCAUCUGCAAAAUUUCAGUAUACAAGAAAGGCCAUGUCCCUGAAUUCAGAAAAGUGUGGUUGCCUCUGAGUUGAAAUUCUAUAUUCAUCAUCUGCAAAAUUUCAAUAUACAAGAAUGACCCUGACCCUGGCCCUGAAAUCGAAAAAGUGUGAUUGCCUCUAUGAGAUUGUUUCUUUAUUCAUCAUCUGCAAAAUUGGAGUAUAUGAAUCCUAUAUAAGAAUGACCCUGGUCAUGUAAUGAGAAAACUGUGGUUGCCUCUAUGAGAUGAAUUCUGUAUUAAUCACCUACGAAUUUUUGGUAUAUAAGAAUGACCCUAACCCUUAAAUUGAAAAACUGUGGUUGCUUCUGAGUUGGAUUCUUUAUUCAUCAUCUGCAAAAUUUGUUGUGGUCCCAUUUUUGUUCUCAUCUGUUGAUGGGUUUUUUGUCUGUUGAUGUUUGGGUCUGAGUGGGGAAAAAAAUGAGGCUUUUUAUAUUGCUAUUGUCUCCUCUUUGCUCUCACUCUAUACUCCGAUGAAUUGUCUUAUUCAAAUGAUAACUUCACUUUGAAGGCUCAAGCAUUUCCUAGCAACAUCAGUGUCUUUUCCCUUGAAUAUGUAGCAAGUUUGUCUUUAUGGAGACAUUUGAUUUGACUUUGAAGGCAAGUUAUCUUUCAACAUGCUUGGUUGAGUUUUUGGGUGCAACUGUUUUUUUUUCCUCUGUUUUCACCAACAUGGUUUACAACAACAAUAAAUUAGAUGUGAAAUUUGUGGGAGGAUGACAAUAUAGUGGUGGUUGUAGGAGUUUUCCUAUGUAUUUAUUUUUAGAUUAUUCUUAUGUGAUAUUCUUUAUUUGGAACAUCUCCUUAUGAUCCAGUGCAAUGUAAUAUUUUUACUUCUUUUCUUAGAAGACAAAAUAGAGGAGAAAACAAGUGAAUGGUGAAAACUCAGUAUGGAAUUAGGUUCAGCAGAAUCUAUAUACACAGGUUAGCCUUGCUGUGAAAUUUUGACCUUCUUGACUAUUUCUUUCUUAGAAGUUGACGUAGUUAAGAGGAGCUUACAAUCGUAGAAGAAUGUCCAAUGAUUGAAAGUGAAGCAUUCUGUCUCUCCCACCUUCUCUCUGCCAACAUGUUAUGUGCUAGUUGAAGAAACAACCUUUCCUUCCGCUCUUGCAUUUCACAUUCAUCUGGCUUAGGAUACAAUCAUACAACUUCUCUAAAUAUUGUGUUUUUCUUUUUCGCAGCAGGUUUCAAGAUACCUCAUCUACACUGUUGGAAUAUCGAACAUCUCUAGUGGAGCAUUCUAAUCUUUGCAUUGAAAUAUUGAACUGACUGUAGAAGUAACUGGUCACAAUGCCUAUGAGAUCAGGAACAAGAACCAGGACAAUACUAUGUAGAUUGAGAGCACGAAGUGCAAAGGUGAAUGGGUCUCAAAUAGUACUCGUAAUAAGGUGAAAGAGUUUCAGAUUUUUCUCUCUACACCACUUAGUGCAAAGGUGAAUGGGUUUCAAGCACUACUGGGAGUAAUAAGGUGGAAGAACUUGAGAAAGAUGUUGUGGAGUUCGUAAAGAAAACAAAAUUCUAGUUGCAAAAUUAAUUCUAGAAAUGGUUCGCAAUGAAGUGGAUUCAUGUAGACAGUGGGAGCUGGAUGGGACUGUUCUGUUCAGCACACCUGGCUAUAUAUGGAGUUAUACUCAGUAGCAGAUGGAAAAUACAUAUUUGAGAUUUGUCACUUUGUUUCGAUUCAAUCUUCAUAUGAAACUAUCGUAGAAGAUGAUACCACUCAUCAAAAUGUGGAUUGCAUGGAAACAACUUGGAAUUAUGAGUCUAGAGCAGGCCAGGGAGCAGUAUAUCAGUUUUCCACAAUAAAGCAUUCCUGAUUGGAUUGCAGAAAAUCCUUGUGUAAGUAUAUAUGGUUAACAAUACUAUUUUAAUUUGUUACCCUUUCCUAAAUUAAAAUAAGAUAUAUAUUUUAUUUGGUCUCGGUUGUAUAAUUGAUUUUUUCUUUUGACUAAUAGUCUAAUACCAUGUAACCUAACUCGUUUGUAUAAAUUAGGUUUUUGUUCUUUUGUAA